This 402-nucleotide ribosomal RNA is filed under the name bacterium enrichment culture clone ALO1_GLFRUDD03FS8R0. RNAcentral's name for it is "bacterial SSU rRNA". It matches the Rfam family "Bacterial small subunit ribosomal RNA", at positions 9 to 412 of the family's 1533-position model. The record is from RNAcentral.
GAGUUUGAUCGUGGCUCAGAUUGAACGCUGGCGGCAUGCCUUACACAUGCAAGUCGAACGGCAGCACGGGAGCUUGCUCCUGGUGGCGAGUGGCGAACGGGUGAGUAAUGCAUCGGAACGUAUCCUGGAGUGGGGGAUAACGUAGCGAAAGUUACGCUAAUACCGCAUAUUCUGUGAGCAGGAAAGCGGGGGACCUUCGGGCCUCGCGCUCUUGGAGCGGCCGAUGUCGGAUUAGCUAGUUGGUGAGGUAAAGGCUCACCAAGGCGACGAUCCGUAGCAGGUCUGAGAGGAUGAUCUGCCACACUGGAACUGAGACACGGUCCAGACUCCUACGGGAGGCAGCAGUGGGAAUUUUGGACAAUGGGGGCAACCCUGAUCCAGCCAUGCCGCGUGAGUGAAGAA